CCGACCUUAGCUCAGUUGGUAGAGCGGAGGACUGUAGUGGUGAAAGCUGUUAUCCUUAGGUCGCUGGUUCGAAUCCGGCAGGUCGGA
Gossypium raimondii (Peruvian cotton) is the source of this 87-nucleotide transfer RNA. It matches the Rfam family "tRNA". Rfam says of the family: Transfer RNA (tRNA) molecules are approximately 80 nucleotides in length. Their secondary structure includes four short double-helical elements and three loops (D, anti-codon, and T loops). Lineage: Eukaryota; Viridiplantae; Streptophyta; Magnoliopsida; Malvales; Malvaceae. The record is from Rfam.